UCCCGGCCUGCCUGGACUCCAGCCGGGACCUCCCACAUGAGGCUCAUUCAUCUAUGCCCAGGAUUCUCAAAGAACCCCGGCCCCAGCCUGCUCUCUGUCAUGUGCUGAGCCCCAAGCUUACCCAUGCCUCCUGCCGUGGGGACCAGAGAAUGAGAAGACCACCAGGGAGACCCGCCCUGGAGACCAUGGUGUGCUGCUGACUCACGCUGGAUGUGCAGUCUUGAAGGAAUCCUACGCUUCAUGAAUGAGGAUUUGACAUCUGGCAGAGGUCUUUAUGAACACAUUUAUGAUCAUCCUUCAAAGCAACCACAUGAAAUGGGCCAGGGGCUUGUUCUCUUUUAGCAGACAGACGGGUUGAGUCACCACAAGAUGCUGUUAUGGUUUAA
This 386-nucleotide long non-coding RNA is filed under the name Homo sapiens (human). RNAcentral's name for it is "HSALNT0300968". Lineage: Eukaryota; Metazoa; Chordata; Mammalia; Primates; Hominidae. The record is from RNAcentral.